This is a non-coding RNA of Elaeis guineensis (African oil palm), 456 nucleotides long. NCBI's taxonomy places the organism in Eukaryota, Viridiplantae, Streptophyta, Magnoliopsida, Arecales, Arecaceae. The record is from RefSeq and is a predicted model, not a curated record.
GCGCCCGGAAAACGGUGAAAAAGGAGGGAGAUGACGGACAUCGGUCCCAUUAGGGCGUGCGACGACACGUGUGGCUGCGUCGUCCCUUGCCCCGGCGACGCCACUUGCAGGUGCACCACCGCCCCCGCCACCACCACCAUAGGAGGUGGAGGGGAGGUGAGACACAACUUGUGCUCGUGUGGGCAACACUGCGGCUGUAACCCUUGCACGUGCGGCAGGAACGUAUCCACCUUGGGUGUCGGCAGGUCGGCUUGCACGUGUGGGACCGGUUGCACAUGCGCUGCAUGUGCCGCAGCUUGAGAGGAGCGUUCGUCGUGUCUUUGCUGUAGUCUACUGCAGCAGUUUAAUAAGGUCCCGGUUGACUGUUUUAGUGUAUGCCAUGUAAUAAUUAAAGCUUAUCUUGUAAUUAGGGUGAGUUAAAUGGUUUAGUAAAUUUACCCUUUUCUCUUCUCCAAA